This 396-nucleotide ribosomal RNA is filed under the name Triticum aestivum (bread wheat). Its description in RNAcentral is "partial small subunit ribosomal RNA". The record is from RNAcentral. Lineage: Eukaryota; Viridiplantae; Streptophyta; Magnoliopsida; Poales; Poaceae.
AUGUGCCUGCUCGUUGCUGAUCCCUGCGUGCUCUGCGAAUCCUUUCGUCUGCAGAAGGGUGGUUGGGGUUUCUGUAGGGGCAAGGAGAGAUCUGCGAUGCGCGCAUCGCCGGCCAGCGAUGGCUUCGUGAACUGGCUGCCGGAGAUUGCCGAGGCCACCUGUGGGAAGGAAAGCCUCAUCUUCCAGUACAGCCUCAGCCAGGUCGAAGAAGAAACUGGUAUAAAGUUAAAUCUACAGGGCAUGGUUGAUCUUACUGCUUCGCCGGACCCUGCUACUGGGUGCAGAAUGCUACCAUCACCGGGUGGCUGUGACAAAGAGAUUGGCAUGUUCCUUUACAGGGGGCACGUGGACGAGGAGACUAUUAGGCUGGUCAUAGUGGGAAGUAACAUAUACUAG